GUUUUAUGUAUCAAGCUGGGUACCAGCAUGGGCUGCCCACAAAACCUAACCCCCAGUGUAUACUCUGCCCAUCGGGAGUCAGCUGGGGGCCCUGGUGCCUAAUGCCCAGCCCACGGCUGCCUGGCUGCACAGCUUUCCUGGUCCCUCUCCCCUGCUGGUGCUGGCGCGAGCAGCUGGCAGUGGCUUUCUUCCUGGAAACCCCAGGUGGAUCCCGAAUGCUCAGCCUGCAGACAAACAUCCUCAGGGCUGUUCCCUAGCAACCCACACUGCUCCAGAGCUGCAGGUCCGUGGCAAAAGCCCUCCCAUCCAUUUGCAGCGAGGCGUUUGGUUUUAGGUGCUCUAGGAUGCUUCCUAAUGUCCCUGCAAUGAUCCACGAAGCCAUUUGCUUAUAAAAUCUGCCAUGCGCCUCCCCGCUCCCGCCCCCACCCCUGCCCUUCCUCCAGAGCUGAGUGCCGUGAACCUUCUGCGGCAGACGCAGCCAAUGGAACCCUGGGUGGCUUGUCGAACAAAGCCCUCGUUCCACGGUGGCAGCGGCAGCGUGGGGCGUCUUCCCUUGUGGCGAUGCUGCUGCCCACCGUGGGCUGUGCGGGAAGGGGGUGGAGGGAUGGCCAGGAUCCAGAAGACAAGAAGCAAAACAAGCCCAGCGCCAGGCAGAGUAACUGCAGAUCCAAUGGAAAAAAUGCCCAGCCUACCGAGAUGCCAAUUAGUCUGUCUUCCCACGGUGGGCCAGCAUCCCCGCAGGAAGAAAUCCGGGGAGCGGACAGUGAGGUCCUCAGAAAGCCCAGCUGUGAUGAAUAGGACUUCUGCUUCCCCUGGGACCUGGCUGGUUAUUUUGUAGGAAAUUGAAUUUCUUGAACAGGAGCUUUAGGAAGACACACACUGGGGCUGCUUUGGUCACUGUCAUCGUAUCUCCUGCACCCAACAAAUCCACAUGUGGGGAGCUGCUCCACAACUGCCUGCCUGAGAAAUGAAGAAGGGGGCACGUUCAGCCUCCAGGCCCACUUGGCUUUCUCAGCCCAUCCAUGGGACGGCUUCUUCUGGUUUGUCUCAGGCCGGUGCAAACUGCCCAAUAUUCCUAUUUCUAUUUUUAAAAAUAUUACACGUGUUCAUCUCUAUGGAAUACAACGCGAUGCUUGAAUUUAUGCACACAUUGUGUCAUGAUCAAAUCAGGUAAUUAGCAUAUCCAUCACUUCAUACGUUUAUCGUUUCUUUGUGGUUAGAGCAUUCAAAACCUCUCUUCUAGCUGUUUUGGAAUGCACGAUACAUUACUGUGAACUGUGGUCAUCCCACUACGCAAUAAAAUACCAGAA
RNAcentral lists this long non-coding RNA (1310 nucleotides) under Chinchilla lanigera (long-tailed chinchilla). Its description in RNAcentral is "lncRNA (ENSCLAG00000026802.1)". The record is from RNAcentral. Lineage: Eukaryota; Metazoa; Chordata; Mammalia; Rodentia; Chinchillidae.